RNAcentral lists this ribosomal RNA (481 nucleotides) under uncultured bacterium. Its description in RNAcentral is "partial 16S ribosomal RNA". It matches the Rfam family "Bacterial small subunit ribosomal RNA", at positions 28 to 507 of the family's 1533-position model. The record is from RNAcentral.
GAUGAACGCUGGCGGCGUGCUUAACACAUGCAAGUCGAACGAAGCAUUUGGGACAGAUUUUUUCGGAAUGAAGUUGCUUAUGACUGAGUGGCGGACGGGUGAGUAACGCGUGGGUAACCUGCCUUGUACUGGGGGAUAGCAGCUGGAAACGGCUGGUAAUAACGCAUAAGCGCACAAUGUUGAAUGACAUGUUGUGAAAAACUCGGGUGGGAUAAGAUGGACCCGCGCUUGUUUAGAUAGUAGGUGAGAUAAAAGCCCACCAAGGCGACAAUGAGUAGCCGAGAUGUGAGACUCACUGGCGACACUUAGACUAGGACACGGUCGGGACUCCUACGCAAGGCAGCAAUGGCGAAUGGAGCAAAAUGGAGGGAGCUCUGAUGGUGCUAGGCCGCGUAAGUGAUGAUAUAAUUCGUGAAGUAAAGCUCUAGCAGCAGUGAAGAUAGUGACGGUACCUGACUAGGAAGCCCCGGCUAACUACGUG